RNAcentral lists this transfer RNA (76 nucleotides) under Bacteroides sp. SM1_62. RNAcentral's name for it is "tRNA-Trp". It matches the Rfam family "tRNA". Rfam says of the family: Transfer RNA (tRNA) molecules are approximately 80 nucleotides in length. Lineage: Bacteria; Pseudomonadati; Bacteroidota; Bacteroidia; Bacteroidales; Bacteroidaceae. The record is from RNAcentral. RNAcentral also lists the same sequence under 1 other name.
ACGGGUGUAGCUCAAUUGGUAGAGCAUUGGUCUCCAAAACCAAGGGUCGGGAGUUCGAAUCUCUCCACCCGUGCUA